UUACUUCUUCAUGAGCAUGUACACUAAAAUUGGAACAACCAGAACAGAUUAGCAUGGCCCCUGAGCAAGAAUGACAUCCAAAUUCAUGAAUCAUUCCACUUUUAA
Heteronotia binoei (common prickly gecko) is the source of this 105-nucleotide small nuclear RNA. NCBI's taxonomy places the organism in Eukaryota, Metazoa, Chordata, Lepidosauria, Squamata, Gekkonidae. The record is from RefSeq and is a predicted model, not a curated record.